GCCCAGAUGGCGGAAUUGGUAGACGCGCUAGACUCAAAAUCUUGUUCUCGCAAGGGAGUGCAGGUUCGAUUCCUGUUCUGGGCA
Molecule: transfer RNA, 84 nt
Filed under: Filimonas zeae
Lineage: Bacteria; Pseudomonadati; Bacteroidota; Chitinophagia; Chitinophagales; Chitinophagaceae
Also listed under: 1 other name
Rfam family: tRNA
About the family: Transfer RNA (tRNA) molecules are approximately 80 nucleotides in length. Their secondary structure includes four short double-helical elements and three loops (D, anti-codon, and T loops).
Source: Rfam by way of RNAcentral